This 279-nucleotide ribosomal RNA is filed under the name uncultured bacterium. RNAcentral describes it as "partial 16S ribosomal RNA". It matches the Rfam family "Bacterial small subunit ribosomal RNA", at positions 506 to 784 of the family's 1533-position model. The record is from RNAcentral.
UGCCAGCAGCCGCGGUAAUACGUAGGGUGCAAGCGUUAAUCGGAAUUACUGGGCGUAAAGCGUGUGUAGGCGGUUCGGAAAGAAAGAUGUGAAAUCCCCGGGCUUAACCUGGGAACUGCGUUUGAAACUACAAGGCUAGAGUGUGGCAGAGGGGGGUGGAAUUCCGCGUGUAGCAGUGAAAUGCGUAGAGAUGUGGAGGAACACCGAUGGCGAAGGCAGCCCCCUGGGUCAACACUGACGCUCAGGCACGAAGGCAUGGGGAGCAAACAGGAUUAGAUA